Molecule: ribosomal RNA, 2886 nt
Filed under: Roseicyclus mahoneyensis
Lineage: Bacteria; Pseudomonadati; Pseudomonadota; Alphaproteobacteria; Rhodobacterales; Roseobacteraceae
Description: bacterial LSU rRNA
Rfam family: Bacterial large subunit ribosomal RNA
Source: RNAcentral
AAAUCAAGCGCGAAAAGGGCGUUUGGUGGAUGCCUUGGCAGUAAGAGGCGAUGAAGGACGUGAUACUCUGCGAUAAGCCAUGGGGAGCUGAGAAUGAGCUUUGAUCCAUGGAUUUCCGAAUGGGGCAACCCACCUGAUACUCGGUUAUUGUUAGCCACGACGGGUCAAACCGGCGCGGGUUAUCAAUAAUCGGGUGAACCAGGUAUUUUUAGCCUGAAUAUAUAGGGUUAAAAAGGCAAACCCGGGGAACUGAAACAUCUAAGUACCCGGAGGAAAGGACAGCAAUUAGCGACUCCCCUAGUAGCGGCGAGCGAACGGGGAUCAGCCGAGCCGUGAGUGUGACCAGAACAGGUUGGAAAACCUGACCAUAGUGGGUGACAGUCCCGUAUGGGAAGCAUGAUCGGACGCAUUAAGUAGGGCGGGACACGUGAAAUCCUGUCUGAAGAUCGGAGGACCACCUUCGAAGGCUAAGUACUCCUUACUGACCGAUAGCGAACCAGUACCGUGAGGGAAAGGUGAAAAGCACCCCGACGAGGGGAGUGAAACAGUACCUGAAACCGAACGCCUACAAUCAGUCGGAGCCCCCUUGAGGGGUGACGGCGUACCUUUUGUAUAAUGGGUCAUCGACUUGGUCUUACGAGCAAGCUUAAGCCGGUAGGUGUAGGCGCAGCGAAAGCGAGUCUUAAUAGGGCGUUGAGUUCGUGGGAUCAGACCCGAAACCGAGUGAUCUAGGCAUGAUCAGGAUGAAGGCAAGGUAACACUUGCUGGAGGUCCGAACCCACACCUGUUGAAAAAGGUCGGGAUGAAUUGUGCCUAGGGGUGAAAGGCCAAUCAAACUCGGAGAUAGCUGGUUCUCCGCGAAAUCUAUUUAGGUAGAGCGUCAGACGAAUACCCCGGGGGGUAGAGCACUGGAUGGGUAAUGGGGCCCCACAGGCUUACUGAUCCUAACCAAACUCCGAAUACCCGGGAGUAAUAUCUGGCAGACACACGGCGGGUGCUAACGCCCGUCGUGAAGAGGGAAACAACCCUGACCUCCAGCUAAGGCCCCUAAUUCAUGGCUAAGUGGGAAAGCAGGUGGGACGACCAAAACAACCAGGAGGUUGGCUUAGAAGCAGCCAUCCUUUAAAGAUAGCGUAACAGCUCACUGGUCUAAACAAGUUGUCCUGCGGCGAAGAUGUAACGGGGCUCAAGCCAUGAGCCGAAGCUGAGGAUGCACAUAGUGCAUGGUAGCGGAGCGUAGUGUGACAUAACUCCAUGUGUCUUAUGUUUUACAGCGGCCCGAGGCGCUCUAGCAGCGCAGCGGUAGCGCAUAAAAUAGCGGACACAAGGAGUUUUCUGUGAAGCCGGGGCGUGAGCCAUCCGGUGGAGAGAUCACUAGUGAGAAUGAUGACGUGAGUAGCGACAAACAGGGUGAGAGACCCUGUCGCCGAAAGUCCAAGGGUUCCUGCUUAAAGCUAAUCUGAGCAGGGUAAGCCGACCCCUAAGGCGAGGCCGAAAGGCGUAGUCGAUGGGAACCAGGUUAAUAUUCCUGGGCCAUGUGGUGGUGACGGAUCUCGAGGGUUGUUCUUCCUUAUCGGAUUGGAAGGGCCGCUUAGAGGUUCCUGGAAAUAGCCCCACUGUAAGAUCGUACCCUAAACCGACACAGGUGGACUGGUAGAGAAUACCAAGGCGCUUGAGAGAACGAUGUUGAAGGAACUCGGCAAAAUACCUCCGUAAGUUCGCGAGAAGGAGGCCCCGUUGGUAGGCAACUAUUGGCGGGGGGCACAAACUAGGGGGUGGCGACUGUUUAUUAAAAACACAGGGCUCUGCGAAGUCGUAAGACGACGUAUAGGGUCUGACGCCUGCCCGGUGCCGGAAGGUUAAAAGGAGGGGUGAGAGCUCCGAAUUGAAGCCCCGGUAAACGGCGGCCGUAACUAUAACGGUCCUAAGGUAGCGAAAUUCCUUGUCGGGUAAGUUCCGACCUGCACGAAUGGCGUAACGACUUCCCCGCUGUCUCCAACAUCGACUCAGCGAAAUCGAAUUGCCUGUCAAGAUGCAGGCUUCCCGCGGUUAGACGGAAAGACCCCGUGCACCUUUACUAUAGCUUCGCACUGGCAUCAGGACUGCAAUGUGCAGGAUAGGUGGUAGGCUUUGAAGCAGGGACGCCAGUUUCUGUGGAGCCACCCUUGAGAUACCACCCUUUGCAUUCUUGAUGUCUAACCGCGGUCCGUUAUCCGGAUCCGGGACCAUGCGUGGUGGGUAGUUUGACUGGGGCGGUCGCCUCCUAAAGAGUAACGGAGGCGCGCGAAGGUUGGCUCAGAGCGGUCGGAAAUCGCUCGUUGAGUGCAAUGGCAGAAGCCAGCCUGACUGCGAGACUGACAAGUCGAGCAGAGUCGAAAGACGGCCAUAGUGAUCCGGUGGUCCCAAGUGGGAGGGCCAUCGCUCAACGGAUAAAAGGUACGCCGGGGAUAACAGGCUGAUGGUGCCCAAGAGUCCAUAUCGACGGCACCGUUUGGCACCUCGAUGUCGGCUCAUCUCAUCCUGGGGCUGGAGCAGGUCCCAAGGGUACGGCUGUUCGCCGUUUAAAGAGGUACGUGAGCUGGGUUUAGAACGUCGUGAGACAGUUCGGUCCCUAUCUGCCGUGGGUGUAGGAUACUUGAGAGGAGUUGCCCCUAGUACGAGAGGACCGGGGUGAACGAUCCACUGGUGGACCAGUUGUCAUGCCAAUGGCAGUGCUGGGUAGCUAUGAUCGGAAAGGAUAACCGCUGAAGGCAUCUAAGCGGGAAGCCCCCCUCAAAACAAGGUAUCCCUGAGAGCCGAGAUAGACCAUCUCGUCGAUAGGCCGGAGAUGUAAGCGCAGUAAUGCGUUCAGUUGACCGGUACUAAUUGCUCGAUAGGCUUGAUUUG